GGUGAAGCAUAUCUUCCCUUUGGCUUCACCUGCACAAGUGCCAAGUUUUUCUUAUUUGUCAUCAUUGACACCUACAAGCAGUGAGGAGGUCCUACCAAAGGUGAUUUACAAGGCCACAAACCUCAAAGACUGCAGCAGGAUGCGGGCCA
Oreochromis aureus is the source of this 149-nucleotide long non-coding RNA. RefSeq lists it as uncharacterized. The transcript is spliced from 2 exons. The record is from RefSeq and is a predicted model, not a curated record. Lineage: Eukaryota; Metazoa; Chordata; Actinopteri; Cichliformes; Cichlidae.